Peromyscus californicus insignis is the source of this 2984-nucleotide long non-coding RNA. RefSeq lists it as uncharacterized. The record is from RefSeq and is a predicted model, not a curated record. The transcript has 3 exons. Lineage: Eukaryota; Metazoa; Chordata; Mammalia; Rodentia; Cricetidae.
CCUAGACUGUAUCACUUCCAGACUGCAUCAGUACCUCUUGGAUUACAGCGGCCAACUCGCUCUGGACUUCAAGACUGAGGCCCCGGAUGUGACGGAUGAAGAGCUCCCGAUGUUCACACUGUGGUAGACAGGAGAACCAAAACUGGCACCCAGGGGGCUCUCUCCUGCUGUCAGAACUCCAUUCUGUUCCCCCUUCCCCUCCUCACCUGCACUGAGGCCCCCAACAGCAGCCGAAGGAUGCCUUCCAGCUCGUCCACUGCCUCUUCUGCUGGGCACAAGCCCACGCUUCCCAAGCCCCAGCAGCAAUUCCUGGAGAGAAGAUAUGAGCGACUUAGAAGAGGACCCCGAGGCCCCGCAAAUGGCGGGAGCGCCCUCAGGAGGGACCUGGCUGACCUGAGUACUCCCAGCACCCCAGCCAAGCAGUCCUGAUUCCCAAGUCCCCCAGCUGGUGAGACCGGUUUGAAGGAGCGCAGCUCUAUGGAGUAUUCUGGGUGUCCCCGAGUGGGAGGCUGCCAGGAAACAGACCCAAGGACUCACAGCAGAAGCGAUCACAGGAGUCGCCUCUCCGUGGGAAUUCUGCCACUGAGCUCACCAAUCAUCUUGAUUGUAUCAUGCUGUUUGUGAGUGCAUCAAAAUUUUAUAUGAUAUGAACCUGCAUCUAAUCAGGAAGCAGAUCUGCUGGGAAAUAUAGGAACGUCUUAGUGAUGAAAAGCCUGGGGCCUGGUUAACUUUUCCUUUAGUGGCAUUUUUUAUUACACAUGAUGACAUCUUAGAGUUGAUAUGAUAUGAGGUAAUAAUAACAGCAGUGGCGCUGCGGUGGCACAGGCCUGUAAUCCCAGCACUCGGGAGACUGAAGCAGGAGGAUCAAAACUUCAAGGCCAGCCUCUCCAUCUAAGGACCGGUGAGAUGGCUCAGAAAGCCUGAAGCCUGACAACUGGAGUCCCGUCUCCGAGACCCACCCAGUAGAAGGGGAGACCCAACGCCUACAAGCUGUCCUCUGACCCCCACACACAAAUGUAACCAAAAGCUAAAGUAAAUACAAAUACCAGAAAUUACAGCAAACUCAGACUUCACAUGAGCGGGACAUGGUUAAUAAGUACUUGACUCUCAUGUACCCAUUUGUGCUGGACUCCUCUGUGAAAUAAAAACUAUGGAGUAUUUCUCACUUUACAGAGGAAAACAAAACAAAACAACAAAAAAAAAAACCGAGGCACAGAGGGGUUAAGAAACCUGCCUAAGGUCACACAGCUGUGAAGUUGGGGAUAGACCAACUGGAAGAGGACAGCAAGGCCAGAGGAUAAGGAGCAAGGGGCAUGGAGUCAGGCAAGCUGGGGCUGACAGGCCGUGGGGAAUCAUGCAAGACUAAGGAAGAGGCUUGUCCUUGAAUCAUCUGGGAAAGUGGGUAAUCUGGUCAAGAAGUGCUGAGCGGCUCACAAGGGGACUCCGCACUUGUUGAAUGACCGAGCUGUGCCCUGGGCCUUCCCAGUAACGCUCUCCAGGGGUUGUCGGCUGCCGGCCUCUUGAAUCUUGUUCCCACUUGCCACCUCCAAAAAUUUCAGUCCCAGGAUUCCUAGAGGCACUGCUACACUGGCCGAGAAGGUCCUCCAGAGCCAGCCAGAAAUGGUGACUGGGGCUCACCUCCGCUGUGGCAGAAGCACUCUCCUCUGCCGGCAUGACCGCAGCGUGCCGUUUAACCAACAUUGGUGCCAUGACUCGGAUACACCACUGAGUGAGCACCGAGGAUCUGCUGUGACCGCUGCCACCUGCCGCCUUCCUCCUCCAUCCAGCGAGACCGCCACCUCCACUGGACACCCACACAGCUACCACUACUGCUACCACCAUGAUUCUUCACAGUGAGUCUGCCGUUCUCGCAGCUGUAGUCUGAGCUAUAUUCUUUGUUGUCCUCGGGCUGUACUUGCAAUGGCAGGCACAUUUUUGCUCCUGACGAGGGGGUAAAUGGUGUCUAGGGUUCAACAGUGGACCAACUGCAGUACAGCCGAGUCCUCACCUUCCCUUGACGAAGAGGAUUGGUGACUUGAGCUGAUUCAUAGAUCUCUCUCCACUUUUUGGGGACACCCAAGAUUGGAGUCUGAUCCCGGUUUGUUAUUUUAAUUUUUUAUUUUUCUCUCAGCUACAGCCAUGAGAUAAAGGGGCAGAUACGAUACAUUUACCACCUACAUUGGCGGAUGGGACGGGCAUAACAGCGUCACGGGAACUUCUGCCAGCAAACAGGCAAAUAAGAGUUACUUUAUCUCCAAGCUUUCUGCUAAAGUUCUAAACCCUUCUCCUUAACCACUUCUGCAUCUGACACAUGCAACCUUUUCUGUCUGACUUCCGCCGGCGGUGGGCGGGCUCAAAUGGGCGGGCUUGGGCGGUUUCAACGACUCGCCCUAACUCACCUUAACUCCACCCACUCAUUCUCACGUGCAUACAGACAGGGCCCUGAUCUUUGCCUUGUCCCUAAUUCCAAAAAAACAAAUUCUCAUGCACCACAAGCUUUUCUCUUCCCAGUUCCCUGUUCUAACUCACUGUUCAGCUAAUGGCACAGGACCACCACAGAACCAGAGUCCAGAGAGCAUCAACAUCUUGUCAAACAGAAAGUUCCCAGCCACAGCCAAGAGGGAUACAUGUCUCCAGAGCUAAUGGAUGACAGACAGCAUCCCACAACGCCUGUCUACCUCAGAAGACUCCCCCAAGAGCCAACCAACGUCCAAUUGUCAGCUGGAAGCAGUUUUUGAGAGGAACGACGUCCCUAGUCCCAUCUACCUGCUUUUUUUUUUAUAAUAAGGGAAAGUCUGGGAUGUAAGGAUUCGGUCCUUAAUUACGUCAUCGGCCUUUGACGGCAUCCCAGCCUAAAAAGCAGGUGGGCCCUCUGUGCGUCCCUCUUUCCUUGCUGCUCCUUCCUUCUGUCUGUCUUCUUCUCUCCCUCUCUCUCCCUCCCUUCCCUUUCCUCUCUCUCUCUCUCUCUCCCUCUCCCCCCCCCC